Molecule: ribosomal RNA, 598 nt
Filed under: uncultured Lachnospiraceae bacterium
Lineage: Bacteria; Bacillati; Bacillota; Clostridia; Lachnospirales; Lachnospiraceae
Description: bacterial SSU rRNA
Rfam family: Bacterial small subunit ribosomal RNA
Source: RNAcentral
GUGAGUAACGCGUGAGUAACCUGCCUUUCAGAGGGGGAUAACGUCUGGAAACGGACGCUAAUACCGCAUGAGACCACAGCUUCAUAUGGAGCGGCGGUCAAAGGAGCAAUCCGCUGAAAGAUGGACUCGCGUCCGAUUAGAUAGUUGGCGGGGUAACGGCCCACCAAGUCGACGAUCGGUAGCCGGACUGAGAGGUUGAACGGCCACAUUGGGACUGAGACACGGCCCAGACUCCUACGGGAGGCAGCAGUGAGGGAUAUUGGUCAAUGGGGGAAACCCUGAACCAGCAACGCCGCGUGAGGGAAGACGGUUUUCGGAUUGUAAACCUCUGUCCUCUGUGAAGAUAGUGACGGUAGCAGAGGAGGAAGCUCCGGCUAACUACGUGCCAGCAGCCGCGGUAAUACGUAGGGAGCGAGCGUUGUCCGGAUUUACUGGGUGUAAAGGGUGCGUAGGCGGCUCUGCAAGUCAGAAGUGAAAUCCAUGGGCUUAACCCAUGAACUGCUUUUGAAACUGUAGAGCUUGAGUGAAGUAGAGGUAGGCGGAAUUCCCGGUGUAGCGGUGAAAUGCGUAGAGAUCGGGAGGAACACCAGUGGCGAAG